This 331-nucleotide ribosomal RNA is filed under the name uncultured bacterium. Its description in RNAcentral is "bacterial SSU rRNA". It matches the Rfam family "Bacterial small subunit ribosomal RNA", at positions 568 to 898 of the family's 1533-position model. The record is from RNAcentral.
CGCGUAGGCGGCGGUACAAGUUAGGCGUGAAAGCCCCGGGCUCAACCUGGGAAUUGCGCUUGAUACUGUGCUGCUAGAGUUCGGGAGAGGUGAGUGGAAUUCCCAGUGUAGAGGUGAAAUUCGUAGAUAUUGGGAAGAACACCGGUGGCGAAGGCGGCUCACUGGACCGAUACUGACGCUGAGGCGCGAAAGCGUGGGGAGCAAACAGGAUUAGAUACCCUGGUAGUCCACGCCGUAAACGAUGUGUGCUAGACGCUGGGGAGCAUAGCUCUUCGGUGUCGCCGCUAACGCUUUAAGCACACCGCCUAGGGAGUACGGCCGCAAGGUUAAA